This 343-nucleotide ribosomal RNA is filed under the name Pheidole scalaris. RNAcentral describes it as "partial 16S large subunit ribosomal RNA". Lineage: Eukaryota; Metazoa; Arthropoda; Insecta; Hymenoptera; Formicidae. The record is from RNAcentral.
AAUAGUUUUUUAAAUGGAAACUGGGAUGAAGGAAGUGAUGAGAUUUAUACUGUCUUAAGUUAAUAAAUUGAAUUUAUUAAUUAAGUAAAAAUACUUAAAUAUAAAUAUGGGACGAGAAGACCCUAUAGAAUUUUAUAUAAAUUUAUUAUAUAAGUUUAGUUAGAUAUUAGUAGGUUUGUAUUUUGUUGGGAGGAUAAUUAAAUUAUAAAAACUUUAAAAGUAUUUAGACAUUAAUUUAUGGAUGUAAAAAAUAAUGAAUGGCUAUUUAGUUUGAGUAGAAUUAAUUACCUUAGGGAUAACAGCGUAAUAUCUUUAGAGAGAUCUUAUUAAUAGAGAUUAUUGC